GGCGUGGUGGCGGAGUGGUCUAACGCGCAAGACUAGAAUCUCUUUGAAAUUCUGUAAUCUUGUUCCUUCGGGAGCGUCCGUUCGAAUCGGGCCCACGUCG
This 100-nucleotide transfer RNA is filed under the name Hypoxylon trugodes. Its description in RNAcentral is "tRNA-Ser". It matches the Rfam family "tRNA". Rfam says of the family: Transfer RNA (tRNA) molecules are approximately 80 nucleotides in length. Their secondary structure includes four short double-helical elements and three loops (D, anti-codon, and T loops). Further hydrogen bonds mediate the characteristic L-shaped molecular structure. tRNAs have two regions of fundamental functional importance: the anti-codon, which is responsible for specific mRNA codon recognition, and the 3' end, to which the tRNAs corresponding amino acid is attached (by aminoacyl-tRNA synthetases). tRNAs cope with the degeneracy of the genetic code in two manners: having more than one tRNA (with a specific anti-codon) for a particular amino acid; and 'wobble' base-pairing, i.e. permitting non-standard base-pairing at the 3rd anti-codon position. Lineage: Eukaryota; Fungi; Ascomycota; Sordariomycetes; Xylariales; Hypoxylaceae. The record is from RNAcentral.